AUACGGAGGGUGCAAGCGUUACUCGGAAUUACUGGGCGUAAAGGACGCGUAGGCGGUUUAGAAAGUCAGAUGUGAAAGCCUAUGGCUUAACCAUAGAACUGCAUUUGAAACUUCCAAACUAGAGUGGGGGAGAGGUCAGUGGAAUUAGUGGUGUAGGGGUAAAAUCCGUAGAGAUCACUAGGAAUACUCAUUGCGAAGGCGACUGACUGGAACUUAACUGACGCUGAGGCGUGAAAGCGUGGGAAGCAAACAGGAUUAGAAACCCGGGUAGUCC
Molecule: ribosomal RNA, 274 nt
Filed under: uncultured bacterium
Lineage: Bacteria
Description: partial 16S ribosomal RNA
Rfam family: Bacterial small subunit ribosomal RNA
Source: RNAcentral